This 2478-nucleotide long non-coding RNA is filed under the name Oryza brachyantha (malo sina). RNAcentral describes it as "long non-coding RNA (OBRA_LNC000815)". The record is from RNAcentral. Lineage: Eukaryota; Viridiplantae; Streptophyta; Magnoliopsida; Poales; Poaceae.
CGGGAUUACCUCGUGUUUAAUUAUACCAUUCCCUGGAUCGAGUAGAUGGUACACACGAUAUCGAGUCAUAGCAUCAGUAGUUCAUACAACAGUGCCUCACAGGGCUUAUUACAACCAAGCACUUGACCAGAUAAAGAGUCUAAAGCUAAAGGACAAAAAUUAAGCAGAAGCGAUAAAAGUAGCGACAUCUAAGCGGCAAUACACCACAGGCGACAACUGGAAGGCAAGACACCACUACGCGUCUUCUCCUUCAGGGAGGUCCUCGAAACACUCGUAAGGGUCUGCAACUGAGUCUUCCUCAAACACUGAUGGUGAGCAAAGCAGGGGUGAGUACGGGGUACUCAACAAGUCACCACGGAAAUAUGCACAUGCAUGGUUGUAACAAGGAGGCUAUAGGGUUUUUUUUUGCAUAAAAGCAACUUUCACAAAUAGUUUUCACAAGACCUAUUUUCUAGCAGCAAUUUCUAUACCAUGAGUGUAACCAAAUAGCCAUGAAGGUUCUGUCGGCCAUCCACUGAUGGUUUUUCCUCGUGGCAUCCAUGCCAUCUUGUAUCCAUGCCAUCUUGUAGGUAAUUCAACCCCUUGCAUCCCAAGGAGCGAAUCAACUGGACAAACACACAACACCUCCAUUUUCACCAACCAAAAUCAUCUUUUUGGGUUUUAAGAGUCUAGCCAAGUGUAUGCCAUGUCCCGGUGCUCAUAUCCGAGAGCGCGGCUAUUCAAAUAGAUUUAACACACUGCAGUGGUUGUACACUUUUCUCGUGCUCCACGACUACCCAACACAUGAGCUUCGUCCCAACACAUGAGACGGUCGUGGCAAAGCCUUUCGAUAACCUUACUUUAGCAGUGCCCGCUCCAUGAACUUUAAUCUCCAUUGCACUCUAGACGUCCUUUACUAGCAGUGAGGGGAGUUUUGGCGUUCCCAAGGGAGGAGUAAACCAAUAAACACAAACACAACAUAUCACAACUCACUGGGACUGACCUACCCGGUCAUCCCUUAUGCAAUAGGCUUCCUACCUACUUGCACACUCAUAAGAACCACCGCGGCUUGGGCACUGCCUCCGCUCGACUAUUUACUAAGCUAGGUCUAUACCCAUUCGAGAAACACGGUUGUACGGUGGUCGUUUCAUGUAUAGCUGCAUGGCUCGGUCCUUAACUGAUCAAGGCGGACUAACCAUUCCCUAGAACCACCCAUAUUCUCACCAUUUCGCCCCGAUCGAAAACAGUUUUUGUCUCAACAAUUCAUUCUCAACAUGACCAGGUGGUUCUCAUGUCUCCACCUGCCGUCAUGCAAUUACUCCCACUGAGUAAUGCCUCAACAUCAUCAUAAUUAUUUCAGAAGUGUAAUAUUGAAUAAAAUGCAGCUACUAGCAUGGCUAAGCAAUGUUAUCAAUUGACUAGAUUAUAAUUGCAACAUGAGACGACAAAGGUUUCAUGGUAAUCAAACAUAUGACAGGUUAUAUCUAACUAAAGUGGGUCUCUGCUUGUUCGGCAUGCAAUUUUAAGUAAAGGAAACGUUUUCGCACUAUAGGUACAACAUGUUCAAUGGGGGUGAUGACUUGCCUUGCUCAAAGUCCUGUGAAUCUGGCCCCUCGCCCAAUUCGUUCGCGGCUACGAAAUCUGAUAAAACGGAGGGUCGAUAGUCAUGACAUAAAUAUAGGUCUCAGGGUGGUCAAGUGAAUAAUGGGAAUUUGUCAGCUAGCCGAAGUAUCUCGCAAGUCCAAAAUUAAUGUGGCCGAGAAAUUAUGGAUAUGGUUUUGGUCCGGGAGCUGAAAGAUUUAAACUAGUUUAGCUCUAAGCUUCACGGUAAAAAUUGCUAGAUUAAUUGGAACUAAAACAAGGGUUAAAAGGAAGGAAAUUCCUAAUUUAAUUCAAGGAGUAGCUAAUUUCCAGGAAUAAUAUUUUUAGAAGAGAGAAAGUAAUUAGCUGGAUUUUUCUAUACUCAGAGCAGUGGCUAACGUACUACUGCAGUUUGGUUUGUAGGGAGACAAUGCAGACUUGCUAAUUUUUAUGGUUGCACAUGGAAGGAACAGUGAGGCGAGCAACAGCCUAGCUGGCCCACCACGGCUGGCCUACCAGCCCAUGGGCAGGAGGACAGAGAAGGCGAUACAGAGGGGAGGAGGCGUUCAGGAGAAUAGAGGAGGGGAAAAAAAGACUGACCGGCGGCGGCGCAACUGGCUUGGCGAUGGCCAGCUCCCGGCGGUCGGUGGGGCGCAGCAGAGCGGAGCGGAGGGAGAGGCAAGGCGAGGUGAGGGCGCAGCGACGGGAGGUCGCUGCUCUCCCCUUUUUAUAGGCGCUCCCGGCGGCGAGAGGUGCCGGCCGGGUCCACGGCGACGUGAGCGAGCUGCGGCGUGGAGAGGGCGGUGCAGCGGCGACGCGACGGCGACACGACAUGCACGUCGACGGUGCUGCGGUGGCGCGAUGGUGGAGUUAUUGCGACGUGCGCGGCGCAGCCGGCGCGACGUGCGGCGGCAGCGG